Molecule: unclassified non-coding RNA, 267 nt
Filed under: uncultured Trichoderma
Lineage: Eukaryota; Fungi; Ascomycota; Sordariomycetes; Hypocreales; Hypocreaceae
Description: sequence contains ITS2
Rfam family: 5.8S ribosomal RNA (bases 1-52)
Source: RNAcentral
AACGCACAUUGCGCCCGCCAGUAUUCUGGCGGGCAUGCCUGUCCGAGCGUCAUUUCAACCCUCGAACCCCUCCGGGGGGUCGGCGUUGGGGAUCGGCCCUCCCUCUGCGGGGGCCGUCUCCGAAAUACAGUGGCGGUCUCGCCGCAGCCUCUCCUGCGCAGUAGUUUGCACACUCGCAUCGGGAGCGCGGCGCGUCCACAGCCGUUAAACACCCAAACUUUCUGAAAUGUUGACCUCGGAUCAGGUAGGAAUACCCGCUGAACUUAA